CUACGGAGGGUCCAAGCGUUAUCCGGAUUCAUUGGGUUUAAAGGGUCCGCAGGCGGGAAAAUAAGUCAGUGGUGAAAGCCUACAGCUCAACUGUAGAACUGCCAUUGAUACUGUUUUUCUUGAGUAUAGAUGAAGUGGGCGGAAUAUAUCAUGUAGCGGUGAAAUGCAUAGAUAUGAUAUAGAACACCGAUUGCGAAGGCAGCUCACUAAACUAUUACUGACGCUCAGGGACGAGAGCGUGGGGAGCGAACAGGAUUAGAAACCCUAGUAGUCC
RNAcentral lists this ribosomal RNA (274 nucleotides) under uncultured bacterium. RNAcentral describes it as "partial 16S ribosomal RNA". It matches the Rfam family "Bacterial small subunit ribosomal RNA", at positions 523 to 796 of the family's 1533-position model. The record is from RNAcentral.